UACGGAGGGUGCAAGCGUUAUCCGGAUUCACUGGGUUUAAAGGGUGCGUAGGCGGUCCUAUAAGUCAGUGCUGAAAUAUCCCGGCUUAACCGGGAGGGUGGCAUUGAUACUGCAGGACUUGAGUAAAGUUGAGGUUGGCGGAAUUGACGGUGUAGCGGUGAAAUGCUUAGAUAUCGUCAAGAACACCUAUUGCGAAGGCAGCUAACUAAGCUUUAACUGACGCUGAGGCACGAAAGUGUGGGGAUCAAACAGG
Molecule: ribosomal RNA, 253 nt
Filed under: uncultured bacterium
Lineage: Bacteria
Description: partial 16S ribosomal RNA
Rfam family: Bacterial small subunit ribosomal RNA
Source: RNAcentral